UACGUAGGGUGCGAGCGUUAAUCGGAAUUACUGGGCGUAAAGCGUGCGCAGGCGGUUCGUUAAGUCAGAUGUGAAAGCCCCGGGCUCAACCUGGGAACUGCAUUUGAAACUACGAGGCUAGAGUGUGUCAGAGGGGGGUAGAAUUCCACGUGUAGCAGUGAAAUGCGUAGAGAUGUGGAGGAAUACCGAUGGCGAAGGCAGCCCCCUGGGAUAACACUGACGCUCAUGCACGAAAGCGUGGGGAGCAAACAGG
RNAcentral lists this ribosomal RNA (253 nucleotides) under uncultured bacterium. RNAcentral describes it as "partial 16S ribosomal RNA". It matches the Rfam family "Bacterial small subunit ribosomal RNA", at positions 524 to 776 of the family's 1533-position model. The record is from RNAcentral.